Long non-coding RNA from Dermochelys coriacea (leatherback sea turtle), 153 nucleotides. RefSeq lists it as uncharacterized. The transcript has 3 exons. The record is from RefSeq and is a predicted model, not a curated record. Lineage: Eukaryota; Metazoa; Chordata; Testudines; Dermochelyidae.
GGCAUGUUGUAAAUGGACAUUGAGUGGCUAUGGGGAUAGAAAGAGGGCAGAUACAAAUCCUUCAGCAUUGGCUCCAACCAAAUGAGGUCGGUCUAACCUUUCUGCUGCUCUACCUCUUUUAUGUGUAAUUAGAUUAUCCUGCAAAUUAACAGU